CGACUUGCAAAUACUCACAUUGUUAGUUUAAACCUAAAAAAAAAAACUAAAAUGACCAAAUUUACUUUAUUGCUAUCAAUUAUUUUAAUUAUUGGCUUCUAUACUAGUGCAGUUGAAGCAUGUCACGGAAAUUGGUGUCAUCCUUUUAAAGGCUAUCAUUGUAAUUGUGUCAAUCACGUUUGUAGUUCAUAUUUCUUUCAAGGCAACUGCCGAACCAGUUUGGAAGAUCUCAUAGAUAAAAUGGGUUGAAAUCAAUAAAAUAAUGUGUGGAAAAAUCUGAAAGUGCAAGUCUCCAACGCUCAUGUUUUAUAUUGAAUAAUCAAUUUACUUUUAUUAAUUG
Microplitis demolitor is the source of this 340-nucleotide long non-coding RNA. RefSeq lists it as uncharacterized. The record is from RefSeq and is a predicted model, not a curated record. The transcript is spliced from 3 exons. Lineage: Eukaryota; Metazoa; Arthropoda; Insecta; Hymenoptera; Braconidae.